Molecule: ribosomal RNA, 249 nt
Filed under: uncultured bacterium
Lineage: Bacteria
Description: partial 16S ribosomal RNA
Rfam family: Bacterial small subunit ribosomal RNA
Source: RNAcentral
UACGAAGGGGGCUAGCGUUGCUCGGAAUGACUGGGCGUAAAGGGCGCGUAGGCGGCCUGAAAGGUCAGCUGUGAAAACUCGAGGCUCAACCUCGAGACGUCGGUUGAAACCAUCUGGCUAGAGUCCGGAAGAGGAGAGUGGAAUUCCCGGUGUAGCGGUGAAAUGCGCAGAUAUCGGGAAGAACACCCGUGGCGAAGGCGGCUCUCUGGGACGGUACUGACGCUGAGACGCGAAAGCGUGGGGAGCGAA